UGGCGGACGGGUGAGUAACGCGUGGGGAACCUGCCCUGUACAGGGGGAGUAACACUUAGAAAUAGGUGCUAAUACCGCAUAAGCGCACAGUAUCGCAUGAUACAGUGUGAAAAACUCCGGUGGUACAGGAUGGACCCGCGUCUGAUUAGCUGGUUGGCGGGGUAACGGCCCACCAAGGCGACGAUCAGUAGCCGGCCUGAGAGGGUGAACCGGCCACAUUGGGACUGAGACACGGCCCAAACUCCUACGGGAGGCAGCAG
This 260-nucleotide ribosomal RNA is filed under the name uncultured bacterium. RNAcentral's name for it is "partial 16S ribosomal RNA". It matches the Rfam family "Bacterial small subunit ribosomal RNA", at positions 96 to 354 of the family's 1533-position model. The record is from RNAcentral.